This is a long non-coding RNA of Prinia subflava (tawny-flanked prinia), 9497 nucleotides long. RefSeq lists it as uncharacterized. The transcript has 5 exons. The record is from RefSeq and is a predicted model, not a curated record. NCBI's taxonomy places the organism in Eukaryota, Metazoa, Chordata, Aves, Passeriformes, Cisticolidae.
ACAGAGUCAUAUCCCAUUAAUUCACAGUGAUCACUAGAAGGCCAACUGAAAACUACAGAAUAAUACAAACUAGAGCCAAAAAAUUUAAACGGUUCACUACACAAGACCUCAUUUAUUUUAGGUUUAAACAAAAGACAUGUUGUCUUCCCCAUGAUAACUCUGUGCAACAACUCUAACUUAAAUGAUCAUUCUGUAAUGAAAACAAUUACCUUUUAGGGUUAUGAAUUCUCACGGUGUUAUGUGUAUAUAUUUUUUUCUGGAACACUUCUAGAUGCACAUUCAGACUCUGUUACAAACAUGGAAAACAUUCUGCACUGCAAGGCAACAACUGAAACAAAAUUUCUCUUCUAAAGUUGCUGAAAACUUCAUCGCUCAAAAAGACAAAUUUGUCUUAUUAUCAUUAUUAGCAUUUGUCAAACUAUACUAUAUAUAUUCUCCCUAUAUAUAGAGAAUAUUCUAUUCACUACGUCUUCCUAAAAGAAAACUUGGUGAGUGACAGAACUGCAAAUCCAAUCAAAUACCAUGAAAACUGGCCAUAAUAAACUUUGCUAUAGUGAAACUCCACUUAAGGGUGCAGCAAAAUGAAAAUCACGGAGCAUGUUUAUGCUUUUUGACCGAGCACAUUGCAUUUACACAGCCACUUGAAGCUGCUGACAGCCAAGAUUUUUAGGGAGGGAAAGAGUCACAUUGAAUGUCUUAAUAGGUAAUAAGAAUAACCAGGAUUUCUCAGAAUGUUUCCCAACACUACUCUCGAUAGAGAGUAAUCGAAGGGACAAACUGUAACUUUUGCACAUUUUACCGAAAUUCAUCUCAUAGUUAAAAGACAGAUGUGGUGUGAAAGCUCUGAUUCAGAGUUAUGAAUGUUCCCCUCCUCAAACACAUAUAAUGAAAAGAAAAAAAAAAUUAAAAAAAAUAAAAGAAGAGAUUUAAAAGAUAAAAAGCCCUGUUUAGGCCAACAAGUUGUUACAUUUCUUGAGCAAGGACAAUUUUCUUAGUACAAUCAUUUCCUCCAACAAGGUAACUCAUGUAAACACCAUAAGGGUCGUACUGUUUGUUCUGUGCUGCCAGAUGGGGGAUAUAAACCAUGCAGAAACAAUUUCAGAUUUCCACCCUGAUUAGUUCAUCUUGAAUAUUUUCACAGUGUGAAUCUGGAAGUCUGAAGUUUACAUAAUGGUUAUAAAUUAGGGAGAAAUCCUGCUGCCAAGAAAGUCACACUCAAGCAAACAAACUGUCUCUUUCCUAACAUGUUUUAGGUGUUGCUUAUCAAACACAUUCUCAGCUGUAGGUGGAAAAAGACCUUGAAUUCCUCGUCGGUUUUUGGAUUGCCGUGUUCCCACCUCGGGCUGUUCAGUCUCAGCGGAGAUUUCCCCGCACCAUCCCCGUCCCCAUCCCGCGCCCGCUGCCCGGCCCGGCGAGCGGAGCUUGCGGCAGCCUGCAGCUCCCUCCGCGGGCCAGCGGAGAGCCCGCAGCCUGCCCAAAGCCUCGAGGAGCUCUGAGCCAUCGCCCAGAGAAACUUCACUGAGCAAAACAUACCCCCUGCAAGUCCUCGAGUCCUUCACACCAAAGAGUUUUGCUACCAGGCAGCCGAAGGGGUGACUUGUCCUGCACCCCUGAACUCCUCUCAUCCAUGCUGUGCCUUCCUGAGCUUCUUCAGAGAACAGCUUUGGCUGGUUUUUACAGUCGUCCCUAAACAUAAGCCUCAACCCCAGUAUUACUUUACAAAAACUCAACAUAAUGCCAGUUCUUAUUAGACUCGAUGGUGGCUGUGGCUGAAAGGAAAAUAAAGAUCACAGUGUGCCUGUAGAGUAGAUAACAAAUACCCAAGUAAGGUUUAUGCAAAGGCAACUCUCAAGGCACAGGCAGAUGGAGUAGGCAAAAGGUAAAGUUUACACAUUCUUUCCAAUUGGCUUGGCUGAGUGCUAAAGCCAGUAAAAAAAAAAGCACUUGCUUUUAUUCAGAAAUCAAUUUAAAAUUAUCAUGUGCCAGACAUAUAAUUGAAAUUUCUGGUUAUUGUAAGUACAGGGGUAAAUUCUGCCCUGAUACAUACACAAGUUCAGCUUCCCUUUAGGAUCAUCAGGGUUAAUGUACAUACAUGUUAGGGCAGAGUUUAAUACUAUCUCCGUGGAGCAGCGAACAACAUUAGGUCAAACAAGCCGGUUUCAUUAAAUACUAAGCAUGUUUAAGGAGAAAUGUCAGAGUUCAGUUCCGCUGGCUAAUGAUGUAAAUCAGGAAUCACUGAAGCCAGACACCUACUCCGAUCUUAUACCCAAUUUGUGUUAGGAUUACUCACUGAAAUAAAUCAGUUCUUUACCAGGAAUCCAUCCUACUGACACAUGAGUAGUUCACAAACUUUUGCUCAGACAAGGAAGUCAUGCCAUGCAGGUUGUAUGACUUUCUGCUGAACUUCUUCUGGAGUGACACCUGCAAGGGCAUCAGGCUGAGGUUAAGAAGCACAAGAUUGGCUGUAUCCCCAGAGUUGCCUCCUGCUGUACUGCUGGGAUGCAGAAUCGUGGAAGAGGAGGGAGAGUUUAGUGUGAGUGGAGGGGACAGAAGAUACAAGGCUGCUGGCCCACACCACUGGGACUGCAGACCUUGCCCAGGGGCUCUGAAGAUGAUGGAGCAGCUCUGUGGGGAGUCACCAGCAUGGAACCAAGGACAUCAGUGUGCCAUGUCCUGAGAGAGUGGCACUCCCCCAGCAUCUGAAUCAGAAAUUGAUAAAGCUUUGGUCCAGGACAGCACAGCCAUUCCUUCUCUGUACCAGAGGAUGCUUGGAUGAUGUUAUAGUCGUGAUAUUCUGAGGAGAAAGAAUUGGGUACAGUCUGAGGCCACCCCUGUGUCAGGCACCUGGCACUGCUUCUGGUAAAUACUGGUGAACACCUGAGUGGCUACUGAUGAUAGAUGUUUCUGCAGUGUGGUGAAUGGACCUACUGAGAUUUGUAGAAGCUAAACCUCUGUCAACGAAUGAGAAUCAUCACACCAGACUUUCGAAAUAUGCUUUUGAUGCCUGUUAGCCAGAGGCUGCUACCUUGUACUUAUGCACACCAGCAGGCUGAACCUCAGCAGCAAUUUUUAUGCCACAUAAAUGCAAGUUUGUUUUUCUAGACCUUUUUAAGAAGGCAAAAAUUCACAGCUAAGUCUCCCCCAAACUUAACACUGUACUUGCUAAAGGAACAUGGGGUAUAUGAAAACAUAACAGUAAGAAGCUGUUUAUACCCUAUAAUAUUAUAACUCAGCUUUUGUCAUAAAUCUCUGUCCUUGAUUGCACAUACCUCCAGCAUGAACUCAUGCUCCUUUUGAUUUUCCUCUUUAUUACCCUCAGCCAACUGAGUGAUGUGUGAGUUCCUGUCAGGGUGCUGACUCUAUUACAAAGUGCAAAGGUAAUUUACAUCACGGGGCUGGCAGGGCAACCAAUAGCACCGUGCCUGGGAGGUGUGCAGCUCCAACAAGUCUCUCUCUUUUAUGGGUAAUGGGGAGCAAUAUUUUUUUAAAAAACAAACGAUAAAUUUCUGUGCAUAGUCAGAGGCAAGUCCUUGGGGUGGGAAAGCAGAUUUACACUCAGCCCACUAGUAGCUUCAUGAGGAGUCAGCAUCUUCAUUUGAGUGAAAAGCCCCAAGAGCAGAGCCUGAGCCACCCCCUCACUGUCUGAAUUCCUUUGGCUCAUCAUGGGGGAAUCAGAGGAGUGGGGAAAAACAGAAAAUUCAUGUUUCUUUGUUUAAAAGGUUCACUGUAAACCAAGACUCCCCAGAGUCAGAGCUGCAGUUUUCACACAGCUCCAUACCCUGUACUACAUGGAAAUUUUAAUUCAGUUUGGAGAUAAACAAACCUUCACUCUAUCUGAGUUCAGGCAGGGGCAAAAGCUCACCCAGGGGCAUAGCCUGAGUGAAAAGGGUCAAUCUUCAGAGGGCCAGGAGGAAGCAAAUCCUUUCCGGUGGCUCUCAGUGGAUCUUCACAAUAUCAGUGGAAGCAACUAAUUUCAGAGGCCAGUCACCCUACACUCUCUUUAUAGCCAUUAAGUAGAGAUAGGCACCUCAAAAAGUGGUUUAGAAAACCCUAUUUAGUCUCUUACUGUGAUCAGUGCUUUGAAGAAGCACUUGCCUCUGCCUGUGGGGUAUAAAUGUUACUCCUACCUGAGACAGGAGCCCACGGACCGCCUGCAUGAGCACACCCACCUGCUGCUCUUCAUCUGUGCCACUUCAGGACUGGAAAACCCAAACCUCCCUGUGGCUGAGGACACAGGCACAGCAUCAACCCCAUCCCAGGCUCUCAGACAAACAGGGACGGUAACAUGCACUCCAAUGUCUGUCAGUUCUGAUUCAAAAUACUGCAGGAUACACCUCAAUGCCCCAAAUUCUAUAAGCACUAGAAAAGUUUCAUUUUAUGGUGAAAGGCCAUUUUCAAAAGCAAACCUGUUCAAGCCUUCUGACAAAACCAAUGUUCUGACCCCAAACUUUGCACUCGGAGAAAUAUGGUAUUGUUCUUUUCAUACAGAUCAUAGGGAAGCGAGGAAACUUCCCCACCUGUAUAUACGUCCCAUGGAUUUACGUGUGAUUAUUCUGUUCUACUUUUUAAGAAGUUCAGCAAUAUAAAAGGCAACAUUGAUAAUUGGGAGCCCUCAAGUCACUUCUGCACCACACAAGGAAAAGGACUUUCCUGCAUCCUCUUUAGGUUACUCAUGAGCACGCUGUUUUCAUGCUCCAAUGAGAAUGCUUAAAUAAUUAUUGUAAAACAUUCAUUAGAACAGUUCUUCCUCUGGUGUUUGACAACAUUUUAAUAUUAGAAAUAUAUUUUGAAAAUAUAUUGAAGUCUGAUAGAUUAAAAAAUUGUGUCCAUUGCUCAAAGCUAUUCAAAACAAUCAGCUCCUAUUUCAAUUAUAUGUGAGUUGCAUGACCAGAUAAUUUUGUGAAAUAGGCUUCAGCACCAUUCAGACUCAAAUCCCAGUGUUUGUUGAACUUCAGAGGAAACAGUGUGUUAAAUUGCAAUGGUGGUCAUAUAUCUUUACUUAUGGAUGUUCUUCACAGCUUCACCAGAUGCAUUUCCUAGUAGCUUGCAUGCAAGACAUUUCAAUAUCAUUUCCUCUAUUGGCUUUCAGUGCACAGCUUAAUUCAAGUACUUCAUUAAAGUUUUCUUUUAAGCCAGUAAUGUUAGGACUGGGGAUCUUUCCAUAAAAGUAUAAUUUUCUGGCCCUUCCUUAGCAGAAAUGGAAAAGAAUUGUGCUCUGCAACUUGAAGAGAACCUCAGCAUUAAUACAAUAGAAACCUGUGUAGCCUCGCCAUAUUCUCACACCAAACAUUUCUACAGGACUUGUUUUUGCAGCAGUAGCUUAACUCCAAAGACAUAUAAAUCUACCUUGUUUGUAAAACUACUGUAGGGCAAUACAACACAGGCCAAACCUUCAUUCCACUGACAUCCAUAAGACUGAUAGCAGCAGAAGAAAGCAACACUCCCAUAUGUUUAUCGUAUCGUAUUUUAUGCUGCUGUCAUGCUCCACUAGCUUUGCACCAAGCUGAAGUCUGACCUUCAUCUUAGUAUGAAUGUGCAGGGCAGAGUGACUGCAUGUAGGCUGCUCUGUUCACCAGCCAUCCCUGCGUGUUGCAUUAUCUCCCUCUGGGGCAUGUUCUACAUCUGCUUCAAGGGUGUGUUUACACUGGAGUGAGUGUAGUGUGAGCAGACAUUCCUGAGUAAGCAUUUUAAGGAGUAUCUCAGGACUGUUUGCAGCACAGCUGUGACAGCACAGACUUCAGCACAGACUGGGGACUCCUAUAUCUGCUCAGUUUUAGGGCUAGUCUGCUUGAGCCCAAAACUGCUGGCCAGAACAAUCUCUCCAAAGUCCAGGGAACUGUGUUUUAGUAGGUCCACUCAUGCCCUUGUUCUCUGAUUCUGUGCACAGAACAAGGUGGUGAGAUUGCAGAAGACAGAGCAACAACCCAUAAGCACAUCCAGCAUCCCAUUAUCAGCAGACACCAUGUACUAAAUAUAUUUAUUAAAUAUGGAAUUCUAGACAGCCAGAAGAAAAAUGCAUGAACUUAUUCCUAGGCUUAAAUUGCAUAAACUUAUUCACUUAUUCCUGGGCUGCCUGGACUAGGAGAAUGGUCUGUUUGCCUUUAAUAUUGAGAUCAGCCUGAGCUCUCAAGAUUAGUAUUUGGGAGGGUUGUAAUGUUAAAGAAGCACAAGGUCAUGCUUGAAAAUGGGUUACUUCAGUUUGAAUAUGAUCACCUUAUGAUUGCUUUGACUGUUGUCCAAGUCCUUUAUAUUCCCUUGGCACUUGGAGCAUCCCCUAUUAACCCAGGCAAGCCAGAGUGACAUGAACAAAAUCAAGCAGAUUUCAGUUCAACAAGAAGCAGAGUGCAGACUUAGAUCCUAAGCUGACAGAAAGAAAGAGGGUGAGCCCAUUUCUGUGCAUUUUUCUGCUUUACUCUUAAUUUGAUGUUCUAGUGAAAUAACUUCUGUGUCCUCCUCCCCAUAGCUCACAAAUUCUUGUGUUUGUUCAUUCUCUGUUAACUCAGUGAACUGUGACUGACUGCAUCUGUGACAAAGUUUGCAUCAUUUUUUCUAACCUUCUUAUCCAUGUUUCAGCAAUUGUACACAGGAGAAGACUUCAUGUGAUAAGGUGUCCCAUUUCUUUUCCAACUCUUCUCAAGGUCCAGCCAGGCUUCCCAGACUGAAUUCUUGUAGCAGCUAUUUGAAUUUAUGUUGGUUAUUCUGAGAACACUGCACAGAAGGCACCAGAGAUGAUUUGAGGACACUGCUCCUCUAAAGACACUUCCUGAAGGAGAAGUAUUGAAUGUCUAUCCAAGCAUUUGCAUCAAGUAUAACCAAGGCAAUCAGUGCCAUCGUGAUCUUUUAAACAUGGUAUUAAAUUGGACCUGGGACAUCUGCAGUCUGAUUUGUUGGAGGGUGCCAAAUAAGCUGGGGUUUUUUUUCUGAAUAUCUUGACUUCUUCACCAAUGAAGAAACAGGGAUAAAAAUUAUUUCCUCCAUAAAUAUUUUAAAUAUUUUAUUAUUCCUCCAUUAAUUAACAAAGACAUCUAAAGAAAAAAAGGAAUUAUGCUUAAUAUCUUUAUAUCCCUUUGAUAAGUCUACCUGUGUUCAAAAUCUCUUGUACUGGUGGAAAUGAAAAUUGUUGUGGUUCAAGUGUUUGCAUAAAUUUUAAGAAUCUAUAUAUUCAGAGUUUUUCUAUGUUUGUAUCUUCAUUUUCCUUAGAGAGGAAGAUUUCUUUAUCUGAACUUUUACUGCUGAACCCUUUGAAAAUGGUCUUAAUUAGUAACAGUGUGGCUCUGUUGUAUGGAGGAGAAUUCUGGCUGUAGCUUUAAUACUUUUAAUAAUUUCUUUUAAUGUAUCAUAACAGCUCCAAACAGUAAGCAGCACAUUGCUAUAGCUGGAUAUUUAUUACACCUACUGUACAAAAGGAACCAAGUCUGUAUUAUUUUUUUAUUCAUAUAUAUGUUCCUAUAAACCAGAUAGCUAAGUGAUGUAUUUAUUUUGGUUUCUAGCCAAGCAGAAAUAUUUAAACUCUGCUUUUGGAAGCAAGAAUUAUCUAAUCACUCGCUAGCUUUUAUAAUAAAACAUUUAUCACGGAACAUUAAUCCAUUAGUACUUAUUUUCCAUCCCAUCCUUUCACUAGCACCUUGCUUUGAACAAGGUUGAGUUUGGCUGUGAUUUUUCCUUUUAUCAUAUAUCAUAGUUACAUGAUGGGACACACCAACAUUGAAUUCAGAAAAAAAUCUUGCACUUUGCUUGAACUUGGCACCCAGAUGUUCUGCUUGUGCUUCCACUGCUAACAAAAUAGUGCAUGUGUGAGUUCUGAAAUAAGUCUUUCAUUGUAAUGUACCAGAGUUUCGUGGAUGUAAGGAGGCAUGUGGAAAUAGCUAAGAAUAAUUACCUGCUAAAGAAAAACUUGUGUUUAACUAGCUUUGUUUUUUCACAGCUUCAAUUUGCAUAGCACAUCACCAAACUGCCACACUUAAGCUCUCUGGCAUUAAAGGCAAAAAUUAAAUGCUUCAGGGGAAUUUCUACUUUAUUUUGUUUUGUUUUGCCAAAUUAGAGAUGAAAGGUAACCCCUGACUAAAAUGUGCAGUCCCUGCCUCUGUGAUGACACAUCACCUAUGUGCCAUGUGGCUGAUCAAAGGUUGGACUUCCUCGGGUUCUUGCCGGACCUGGAUUUUCAAAGCCACUGCUCAGCACAGUGUCAGCUCAGGACCAGAGGGUGACAUGUCCUACAGCACAAAGGCAACGAGAGGAAGCACUCAGGGAGCUCCACAGUCUCAGUCUGUUUUCUUCAGCUCCCCCUGGAAAGAGAGAAAUAAACAAAGAAAAGGAAGGUGAGAAAGUCAUGAAAAAACAGGUAGGAAGGUCCUUGAGGAACAAAAACCAGAAUGUGCAACUGAGAAGUCUCUGUUAUCUAUGGCCUUUGUGUGCAGCUCUUCCAAGCAGCAUCUGGAUGCCCAGGUGGGUAGGUAGGUAUCUCCAGAGAUAUCUCUGGAGAUCACAACAGCUGGAACUCUCCUCCACUCCCCAGAGUGUGUUGGAACCAGGAUCUUGGGUUCAGCAAAACUCAGCUGAACCCAAGAUCACUCCCCUUUACACAUCUCAAACCUUGCACAACAUUGAUGCCGUGUGCCCCCAGAAUGGGUUCUGCAGGCUAGUGUCAAAGAGAAGCUGCUGCAUUUGUUUCUCAUUUUUAUUAUGAAAUGUUCUAUUUGUGAGCCAAAAAACCACCCCUUUUUGUAGCAUGCAUUACAGAAUGUAUGAAACAUCAGAACCAAAUCCUGUGAACUCCGGGUGUAAUCUUUACUGCUGGAGUAGAUCCUUUGCAACCCACAGGUGUAAUAAAUACUAUGACAAGCUUUUACAGAACAAGAGCCAAACUAUUAUUAAUUGUAGCACUGGAAGACCCUAAUUGACUCCGCCUCUCUUUGCAGAUUUAACUGAGGCCUGAGUCAAGUGCGGGCUUUAGGCAGGCUGCAACCCAGGAAGGUGAGUGACUUCAGUGACCACAGUGAUUUGUGAACCUUGGUAGGAAUGAAUGGAUCCAGACUGGAGAACAAAUGGUACCAGGAGUGAUAAGCACUGCUUACUUUUGGAUUUGCUAAACAACAUAUUUCAUCACACACCUCCUGCCUGAGGAAAAAACAUACUGAAUACAUUCAACCCGGAAAUUUCCCUACAGGAAGAAAAAUAGGAUGAAAGCUGGACAGUUAAUGUGUUUUCUUCAAAGUCAGGAGCUGAAGUUGAUAACCUAUUUAUAUGAUGCAUGACCUCCUGAAAUCUCAUUGAGUGUCUUUUUGUUCUGUGAUUUUACACCACUUAAAAUGAGGUAUAGCACCAUUUAAAAUGAUUUUGUGAUGUAGAUACUACCAAAUUGUAGAAGCCUCUGAGUGGAAACAUUAAUUUUGUUAUUACUGGUGAUGCUCUUGUCAUUACUGUUAUCUUUCCACACUCUCAAGAAAAAUAUUGAAAACAGAGAAAUGCAAAUACUGCUUUAAUAAUAAAUAAUACAA